UACGUAGGGUGCAGCGUUAAUCGGAAUUACUGGGCGUAAAGCGUGCGCAGGCGGUUUUGUAAGUCUGACGUGAAAGCCCCGGGCUCAACCUGGGAAUUGCGUUGGAGACUGCAAGGCUUGAAUCUGGCAGAGGGGGGUAGAAUUCCACGUGUAGCAGUGAAAUGCGUAGAUAUGCGGAGGAACACCAAUGGCGAAGGCAAUCCCUGGGCCUGUACUGACGCUCAUGCACGAAAGCGUGGGGAGCAAACAGGAUUAGAAACCCUUGUAGU
RNAcentral lists this ribosomal RNA (269 nucleotides) under uncultured bacterium. Its description in RNAcentral is "partial 16S ribosomal RNA". It matches the Rfam family "Bacterial small subunit ribosomal RNA", at positions 524 to 794 of the family's 1533-position model. The record is from RNAcentral.